AACAAACGCUGGCGGCGUGCCUAAUACAUGCAAGUCGAACGGGGAAAGCUUUCGGGUGAGUACUAGUGGCGCACGGGUGAGUAACGCGUGGAUAAUCUGCCUUUGAGUGGGGGAUAACUAGUCGAAAGAUUAGCUAAUACCGCAUAAGACCACAGGAACUGAGGUUCUAGGGGUUAAAGGUUUUUCGCUCAUAGAUGAGUCCGCGUGAGAUUAGCUAGUUGGUGAGGUAACGGCUCACCAAGGCGACGAUCUCUAACUGGUCUGAGAGGAUGAUCAGUCACACUGGAACUGAGACACGGUCCAGACUCCUACGGGAGGCAGCAGUAGGGAAUAUUGCACAAUGGAGGAAACUCUGAUGCAGCGACGCCGCGUGAGUGAUGAAGGCCUUCGGGUCGUAAAGCUCUGUCGCAGGGGAAUAACACAAUGAAUGUACCCUGUAAGAAAGGAUCGGCUAACUUCGUGCCAGCCGCCGCAGUAA
This 478-nucleotide ribosomal RNA is filed under the name uncultured bacterium. RNAcentral's name for it is "partial 16S ribosomal RNA". It matches the Rfam family "Bacterial small subunit ribosomal RNA", at positions 29 to 523 of the family's 1533-position model. The record is from RNAcentral.